GCCCCCAUAGCUCAACUGGAUAGAGCAACUGGCUACGAACCAGUAGGUUGUCCGUUCGAGUCGGACUGGGGGUA
Molecule: transfer RNA, 74 nt
Filed under: bacterium
Lineage: Bacteria
Also listed under: 2 other names
Description: tRNA-Arg
Rfam family: tRNA
About the family: Transfer RNA (tRNA) molecules are approximately 80 nucleotides in length.
Source: RNAcentral